RNAcentral lists this ribosomal RNA (465 nucleotides) under Vreelandella stevensii. Its description in RNAcentral is "partial 16S ribosomal RNA". It matches the Rfam family "Bacterial small subunit ribosomal RNA", at positions 338 to 795 of the family's 1533-position model. The record is from RNAcentral. Lineage: Bacteria; Pseudomonadati; Pseudomonadota; Gammaproteobacteria; Oceanospirillales; Halomonadaceae.
CCUACGGGGGGCUGCAGUGGGGAAUAUUGGACAAUGGGGGCAACCCUGAUCCAGCCAUGCCGCGUGUGUGAAGAAGGCCCUCGGGUUGUAAAGCACUUUCAGUGAGGAAGAACGCCUGGUGGUUAAUACCCAUCAGGAAAGACAUCACUCACAGAAGAAGCACCGGCUAACUCCGUGCCAGCAGCCGCGGUAAUACGGAGGGUGCGAGCGUUAAUCGGAAUUACUGGGCGUAAAGCGCGCGUAGGUGGCUUGAUAAGCCGGUUGUGAAAGCCCCGGGCUCAACCUGGGAACGGCAUCCGGAACUGUCAAGCUAGAGUGCAGGAGAGGAAGGUAGAAUUCCCGGUGUAGCGGUGAAAUGCGUAGAGAUCGGGAGGAAUACCAGUGGCGAAGGCGGCCUUCUGGACUGACACUGACACUGAGGUGCGAAAGCGUGGGUAGCGAACAGGAUUAGAUACCCGUGUAGUC